This 337-nucleotide ribosomal RNA is filed under the name uncultured bacterium. RNAcentral describes it as "partial 16S ribosomal RNA". It matches the Rfam family "Bacterial small subunit ribosomal RNA", at positions 338 to 667 of the family's 1533-position model. The record is from RNAcentral.
CCUACGGGUGGCAGCAGUGGGGAAUAUUGCGCAAUGGGCGAAAGCCUGACGCAGCGAUGCCGCGUGAAGGAUGAAGGUCUUAGGAUCGUAAAACUCUGUCAGCAGGGAAGAACGGCCACUGUGCUAAUCAGCAGUGAAUUUACGGUACCUGCACAGGAAGCACAGGCUAACUCCGUCCCCGAAGCCGCGGUAAUACGGCGGGUGCGUGCGUUAAUCGGAAUUACUGGUGGUAAAGCGCUCGUAGGCGGUAUGUCAAGUCAAGGGUGACAUCCCCGCGCUCAACGUGGGAACUGCCUUUGAAACUGUCAAACUAGAGUGUGGGAGAGGAUAGUGGAAU